RNAcentral lists this ribosomal RNA (623 nucleotides) under Rhithrodytes agnus. Its description in RNAcentral is "partial 16S ribosomal RNA". It matches the Rfam family "Bacterial large subunit ribosomal RNA", at positions 1828 to 2728 of the family's 2925-position model. The record is from RNAcentral. Lineage: Eukaryota; Metazoa; Arthropoda; Insecta; Coleoptera; Dytiscidae.
GUCCUUUAGAGAUAAUUAAAGGUUUAACCUGCCCACUGAAAAAUUUUAAAUGGCCGCAGUAAAUUGACUGUGCAAAGGUAGCAUAAUCAAUAGUUUUUUAAUUGAAAGCUUGUAUGAAUGGUUGGACGAGAUAAAAUCUGUCUUUAAUUAAUAAAUAGAAUUUAAUAUUUAAGUUAAAAAGCUUAAAUAUAAUUAAAAGACGAGAAGACCCUAUAGAUCUUUAUAAUAAUUAAAUUAUUUUUAUUUAAGAAUAGUUAUUAAUUUAAUUUAGUUAUUAUUUUGUUGGGGUAAUAGAUAGAUUUAAAUAAUUCUUUUUAAAAAUAAACAAUAAUUUUUGAUUAAUUGAUCCAUUAUUAGUGAUUAUAAGAUUAAGUUACCUUAGGGAUAACAGCGUAAUUUUUUUAGAGAGUUCUUAUCGAUAAAAAAGUUUGCGACCUCGAUGUUGGAUUAAAAAUUAUUUUAGGUGUAGUAGUUUAGAAUUUUGGUCUGUUCGACCAUUAAAUUUUUACAUGAUCUGAGUUCAGACCGGUGUAAGCCAGGUCGGUUUCUAUCUUUAGUUAAUUAAAAUAUUUUAGUACGAAAGGACCAAGUAUUUAAUAUGAAGUAUUUAUUUAAUUGAAUUG